GGGUUAUGGACGAGUCUGAUGGAGCACGCCGCGUGAGCGAUGAAGGCCUUCGGGUCGUAAAGCUCUGUUGUUAGGGAAGAACAAGUACCGGAGUAACUGCCGGUACCUUGACGGUACCUAACCAGAAAGCCACGGCUAACUACGUGCCAGCAGCCGCGGUAAUACGUAGGUGGCAAGCGUUGUCCGGAAUUAUUGGGCGUAAAGCGCGCGCAGGCGGUCCUUUAAGUCUGAUGUGAAAGCCCACGGCUCAACCGUGGAGGGUCAUUGGAAACUGGGGGACUUGAGUGCAGAAGAGGAAAGCGGAAUUCCACGUGUAGCGGUGAAAUGCGUAGAGAUGUGGAGGAACACCAGUGGCGAAGGCGGCUUUCUGGUCUGUAACUGACGCUGAGGCGCGAAAGCGUGGGGAGCAAACAGGAUUAGAUACCCUGGUAGUCCACGCCGUAAACGAUGAGUGCUAAGUGUUAGAGGGUUUCCGCCCUUUAGUGCUGCAGCUAACGCAUUAAGCACUCCGCCUGGGGAGUACGGCCGCAAGGCUGAAACUCAAAGAAAUUGACGGA
This 557-nucleotide ribosomal RNA is filed under the name Neobacillus fumarioli. RNAcentral describes it as "bacterial SSU rRNA". It matches the Rfam family "Bacterial small subunit ribosomal RNA", at positions 366 to 917 of the family's 1533-position model. Lineage: Bacteria; Bacillati; Bacillota; Bacilli; Caryophanales; Bacillaceae. The record is from RNAcentral.